This 253-nucleotide ribosomal RNA is filed under the name uncultured bacterium. RNAcentral describes it as "partial 16S ribosomal RNA". It matches the Rfam family "Bacterial small subunit ribosomal RNA", at positions 524 to 776 of the family's 1533-position model. The record is from RNAcentral.
UACGUAGGGGGCUAGCGUUGUCCGGAAUCAUUGGGCGUAAAGAGCGCGUAGGCGGCCCGAUAAGUCCGCUGUGAAAGUCCAGGGCUCAACCCUGGAAUGCCGGUGGAUACUGUCGGGCUAGAGUCCGGAAGAGGAGAGUGGAAUUCCUGGUGUAGCGGUGAAAUGCGCAGAUAUCAGGAAGAACACCCGUGGCGAAGGCGGCUCUCUGGGACGGUACUGACGCUGAGACGCGAAAGCGUGGGGAGCGAACAGG